GAGGUAAGUUACAAAAAAUGUUAUCAAAUAUUUAUUAUUCAUAAUCAUUAAUUGUCAUAUAUACGUUAAUCAUAUUAGGCAAUUCCGUAGUUUUUAUUUAAGAAAAGUAAGAGAAUAUUAUUUUGUACACUAUUUAUCAAUUUAAUAGUUAGUUUGAUAAAAAAAUAUAAUAUAAGUUAAGAUGAACCAACCUAUUUUUCUAAGAAUUCUGAACUUCAUCCUUGUGGUGACACGUGACUACAAAAUAAUGUUCUAAUGUUUCUCAAUUAAUAUAUAAGGGAUGCUAUAAUUUUGUCCAAAAAAAAAAAGAAAAAUGCCAUAAUUACGUUGUCACUAUGCAUUUAUGUAUCUAGUCAUGUUAUUAAUUAUUUAUUAUUCCCUAUAUUUCAAAAAGAAAUUCUUUAAACACCAUUUAUAGUACUGAAAUAAAGGGAGUAAGAUACAUACACUAACGAAAAUAUGUAUUAACCUUCUUGUAGAACUCGGCCGCCUAGCCGAUUCGGCGGCCGAAAAAAGCUCUAUGGUGGCCAACCGCGGCGAGUUUAUAAGAUUUUUAAGGUGACUAUAUCGUUGUCACUGGGUGAAGGAGUGACUUGCUGACAUAAUACACCACAUAAUACUUGGCCAUAAUUGUUACAAGACCUUUAAUUUUACCUUUUAGAGUUGUCUGGUAGUAAGAGAAGAAAUUAGUCUGAUCUCCUUUUAUUUCCUUUAUGCCCCAUGUGGGUAGGAAAUUUGACUAGGUACGUGGUGGAGAGUAGAUGGGACGACUCUCAUGUCAUAGAUCUAGGGGAGCCAUAUUAUCAUAUUAUAGGAUGAAGUGCAGUUGAUCACCAUGAAAUUUGUAGACAACUUUUCUUACUGUUUGUUUACUUUGCUGCAGUACCCGAUGAGUGGUGUGAUUUUCCCGGGUCAGGACAUCUUUUUCCAAUUCUAAGUCGUUGUAGGCUAUUGGGAAAAUGACGUUUAUGAAGUUUCUGUUGUCCACUAGUAUCCUAUUCACCAAAAAAAUUCACAACCAUGAGAGACACGACCAGGGUGUUAUGGUGAGAAGCCAAAACUUUCUCUUGCUCUUUUGCUGUGAAGCUUAUAUUGACGGUUCCCAAGAGAACGCAUUUUGUUUUCCCCGUUUCUUGGUCAUUAUUGGCACUUCUGGUACUUUUCUUGGCAGUUACAUGUGUGAUGCCACUUAUCUCCGAGUCACCGGAUAUUAUGUCGAUUACCAUAUUGUGUCAAGGUAGUGAGGCAGGAGUAGUUCUGACCAGUUGGUUAUUCUCCUCUAUAUUUUGGAGGAUGUUUUUGGCUUUGUCGAAGAGGAAUUUCAGGAGGUAUUAUUUCUUUAAUAGUUAGUUAAUUUCCAUCUUUAGUGAGAUGCAGUCUUCCGUUUUGUGAACGUGGUCAUUAUGGAAUUCACACCAUAUGUUUCGAUUCCAGAAUGUUUAUGGUCAUUUAAUCUUCUGAGGUCUAUAUUGUUAAAGAUGUUUUUGGCUUUGUCAAAGAGGAAUUUCAGGAGGUAUUGUUUCUUUAA
Molecule: long non-coding RNA, 1528 nt
Organism: Brassica rapa (field mustard)
Lineage: Eukaryota; Viridiplantae; Streptophyta; Magnoliopsida; Brassicales; Brassicaceae
Source: RefSeq, a predicted model, not a curated record